UGAAAUGGCAAGUGAUAAUCGUUUCCCGAGUACAAAGGGGUAAGAAACGUUUGCAGGCGGAAGAAACACGAGGAAUCUUGUAGCAAUGCGGGAGUCACCUAUACACGUAGCAAGUGCUCGGAAGUUUAUUUACCUGAAACGAACGUUUCAUCGUAGCCGUAUCAAUUUGCAACGGGAACGUUGUACCAUUCAACUGAAUUAUUGCGAAGAAUAAUUGUACGAACGGAAAUUGAGUUCUCCGUGAAUUGCUUCCGAAGUUUCAAAGCAUUUUACCUGCUAACAGUACUCGGUGAUUAUUUUCGAAUGAAACGAUAGAAGGGAAGCCAAUACCUGUUAAUCGUUUCCUUUCUUAAUUAACAGAACUCCAGUGGGGAGGUGAAAAGGUGGUUACGAUGGUUUGUGGAAAACUUUUUCAAACUGUG
This is a long non-coding RNA of Osmia bicornis bicornis, 422 nucleotides long. RefSeq lists it as uncharacterized. The transcript has 3 exons. The record is from RefSeq and is a predicted model, not a curated record. NCBI's taxonomy places the organism in Eukaryota, Metazoa, Arthropoda, Insecta, Hymenoptera, Megachilidae.